This 64-nucleotide transfer RNA is filed under the name Physopelta sp. Its description in RNAcentral is "tRNA-His". The record is from RNAcentral. Lineage: Eukaryota; Metazoa; Arthropoda; Insecta; Hemiptera; Largidae.
AUUUAAGUAGUUUAAUUAGAAUAAUAAUUUGUGAUGUUAUAGGUAUUGAUUUUAAUCUUGAAUU